This 484-nucleotide ribosomal RNA is filed under the name uncultured bacterium. RNAcentral's name for it is "partial 16S ribosomal RNA". It matches the Rfam family "Bacterial small subunit ribosomal RNA", at positions 30 to 507 of the family's 1533-position model. The record is from RNAcentral.
AUUGAACGCUGGCGGCAGGCCUAACACAUGCAAGUCGAGCGGAUGAAGGGAGCUUGCUCCUGGAUUCAGCGGCGGACGGGUGAGUAAUGCCUAGGAAUCUGCGUGGUAGUGGGGGAUAACGUCCGGAGACGGGCGCUGAUACCGCAUACGUCCUGAGGGAGAAAGUGGGGGAUCUUCGGACCUCACGCUAUCAGAUGAGCCUAGGUCGGAUUAGCUAGUUGGUGGGGUAAAGGCCUACCAAGGCGACGAUCCGUAACUGGUCUGAGAGGAUGAUCAGUCACACUGGAACUGAGACACGGUCCAGACUCCUACGGGAGGCAGCAGUGGGGAAUAUUGGACAAUGGGCGAAAGCCUGCUCCAGCCAUGCCGCGUGUGUGAAGAAGGUCUUCGGAUUGUAAAGCACUUUAAGUUGGGAGGAAGGGCAGUAAGUUAAUACCUUGCUGUUUUGACGUUACCAACACAAUAAGCACCGGCUAACUUCGUG